This 199-nucleotide long non-coding RNA is filed under the name Daucus carota (carrot). RNAcentral describes it as "long non-coding RNA (DCAR_LNC004123)". The record is from RNAcentral. Lineage: Eukaryota; Viridiplantae; Streptophyta; Magnoliopsida; Apiales; Apiaceae.
CUGCAGCGAGAAACAAGCAUCAGAAAUCUCAUCAGAAUGUUCUUCAAGGACACCUCUCAGUUCCCCAAAAUCUGUGGACCAUAAGUUAGCCUGCAUCAUUAAUUUACCAGGGAAAGAAGUUGGUAUAUUUGCCUCUGGGCAAAUUGUUUUAACCAAAGGACAAUGGUAUCCUCAGGCUCAAGAGAAAGCAUAAGUAUGA